RNA transcript from Anastrepha obliqua, 2204 nucleotides. It is a transcript of the gene named protein kinase C, brain isozyme-like, with no coding region annotated. Lineage: Eukaryota; Metazoa; Arthropoda; Insecta; Diptera; Tephritidae. The transcript is spliced from 15 exons. The record is from RefSeq and is a predicted model, not a curated record.
AUCAAGUGGGCUAUCGAUGGAUGGGCUUUGGCAAACAAGGAUUUCAAUGUCAAGUUUGCUCGUAUGUUGUGCACAAGCGCUGUCAUGAGUACGUCACAUUCAUAUGCCCGGGCAAGGAUAAAGGAAUCGAUUCCGAUUCACCACAAACAGUGCAUCAUUUCGAACCAUUCACAUUUGGUGGGCCAACUUUUUGCGACCACUGUGGCUCGCUACUCUACGGCAUCUAUCAUCAGGGUCUCAAAUGCUCAGCAUGCGACAUGAAUGUUCAUGCCCGGUGCAAGGAGAAUGUGCCGAGCUUAUGCGGUUGCGAUCAUACCGAACGACGAGGGCGCAUCAAUUUGGAGUUGAAUGUGAAGGAGAAUUUGUUGACGGUGCAAAUCAAAGAAGGCCGCAAUCUCAUUCCAAUGGAUCCAAAUGGUCUCAGCGAUCCAUAUGUCAAAGUCAAACUAAUUCCAGAUGAGCACGAAAAGUCAAAGAAAAAGACGCGCACCAUUAAGGCAUGUCUGAAUCCUGUGUGGAACGAGACCAUCAAAUAUGAUCUCAAACCAGAAGACAAAGAUCGUCGUGUACUGAUCGAGGUGUGGGAUUGGGAUCGUACAUCGCGCAAUGAUUUUAUGGGCGCGUUAUCCUUUGGCAUAUCCGAAAUUAUUAAGAAUCCCGCCAAUGGUUGGUUCAAAUUACUCACACAAGAGGAGGGUGAAUACUACAACGUGCCAUGCGCUGAUGCCACGCAGGAUCUGCUUAAACUCAAAAGUCAAAUGCGGAAAUCAUCGCAGAAGAAACCGCUGGUGAUGCGCAGCGAUACAAAUACACAGACACAAUCCAAAAAGGAUAUGAUACGUGCUACAGAUUUUAAUUUUAUCAAAGUGCUGGGCAAAGGUUCAUUUGGAAAGGUCAUGUUGGCCGAACGCAAAGGCACCGAAGAUCUCUACGCCAUCAAAAUACUCAAAAAGGAUGUCAUCAUACAGGAUGAUGAUGUCGAGUGUACAAUGAUUGAGAAGCGCGUGCUGGCGUUGGGCGAGAAGCCACCAUUCCUGGUGCAGUUGCACUCGUGCUUCCAAACGUUAGACCGCCUCUUCUUUGUAAUGGAGUACGUCAAUGGUGGUGAUUUGAUGUUUCAAAUACAACAAUUCGGAAAAUUCAAGGAGCCAGUCGCUGUCUUCUACGCCGCUGAAAUUGCCGCCGGCCUCUUUUUUCUACACAGCAAAGGCAUUUUGUAUCGUGAUUUGAAAUUGGACAAUGUCCUAUUGGAUGCGGAUGGUCAUGUUAAAAUUGCCGACUUUGGCAUGUGCAAGGAGAAUAUUAUUGGCGAUAAGACAACAAAGACAUUUUGCGGCACACCCGACUACAUAGCACCCGAGAUCAUCCUGUAUCAGCCCUAUGGUAAAUCGGUUGAUUGGUGGGCCUAUGGCGUUUUACUUUACGAAAUGCUCGUCGGUCAGCCGCCUUUCGAUGGUGAAGAUGAAGAGGAAUUGUUUGCUGCCAUCACCGAUCACAAUGUCUCCUAUCCGAAGAGUCUGAGCAAGGAGGCAAAGGAGGCGUGCAAAGGGUUCCUCACCAAACAGCUUACCAAACGGCUUGGCUGUGGGCCCACCGGUGAAGCGGAUGUGCGCAUUCAUCCAUUCUUCCGACGAAUCGAUUGGGAGAAAAUUGAGAAUCGUGAAGUGCAGCCACCAUUUAAGCCGAAGAUUAAACAUCGUAAAGAUGUCUCGAACUUCGAUAAGCAAUUCACGUCGGAGAAAACGGAUCUGACACCAACGGAUAAAGUAUUCAUGAUGAAUUUGGAUCAAACGGAAUUUGUUGGCUUCUCCUACGUGAAUCCGGACUAUGCAGUGCCUGUUUAAGUACAGUUAAAAUAAACAAACAUACAUGCCAGCAUUUGGUAAGCGCAGCAGCGUGGGAGUGGCACAGGAACUGAUAGAUGAAGGGUACAAGAGAGAAAGAGAGGUACGGAACGCCGCAUGAAAGAAGCAAAGAAGGGAAGCAGGAAAUGAAGCGUCUACUUGCUGCGAUGUUGUUGGAUGUUAAUAUUUUUCUAAGUAUAUCUUAUUUACCAACCAGGAACCCAUCGACGGCUGGUACAAGUUUCUCUCUCAAGUUGAGGGAGAGUACUACAACAUACCGCGCUCGGAUCCGGUCAACGACAUAGCGCGCUUGCGCGAUGAAGUGCGAAUGAGUGGAGUGUUUAAAGUGCUUUCCUAGAC